AAGGUGUGGGAUCCACUCCUUUUGGAAACCGGUAGCUAAUACCGCAUAACGUCGCCGACCAAAGAGGGGGACCUUCGGGCCUCUUGCCAUCAAUGUGCCCAGAUGGGAUUAUCUAGUAGGUGGGGUAAUGGCUCACCUAGGCGACGAUCCCUAGCUGGUCUGAGAGGAUGACCAGCCACACUGGAACUGAGACACGGUCCAGACUCCUACGGGAGGCAGCAGUGGGGAAUAUUGCACAAUGGGCGCAAGCCUGAUGCAGCCAUGCCGCGUGUGUGAAGAAGGCCUUCGGGUUGUAAAGCACUUUCAGCGAGGAGGAAGGUGGUGAGCUUAAUACGCUCAUCAAUUGACGUUACUCGCAGAAGAAGCACCGGCUAACUCCGUGCCAGCAGCCGCGGUAAUACGGAGGGUGCAAGCGUUAAUCGGAAUUACUGGGCGUAAAGCGCACGCAGGCGGUUUGUUAAGUCAGAUGUGAAAUCCCCGGG
Molecule: ribosomal RNA, 482 nt
Filed under: uncultured bacterium
Lineage: Bacteria
Description: bacterial SSU rRNA
Rfam family: Bacterial small subunit ribosomal RNA
Source: RNAcentral